Small nucleolar RNA from Archocentrus centrarchus (flier cichlid), 132 nucleotides. RefSeq annotates it as small nucleolar RNA SNORA9. The transcript has a single exon. NCBI's taxonomy places the organism in Eukaryota, Metazoa, Chordata, Actinopteri, Cichliformes, Cichlidae. The record is from RefSeq and is a predicted model, not a curated record.
GUGCAGACUUCCAGCGAGACUGUGCCUGCAGUGGCUCUGUCUUUCCUAUUAAGUCUGCUACAGAAAUGUGAGGUUGUUUGAGGCCCUGCUGUGGCUCCUCAUGGCAGGGUUAUAGGUAAACCUCCAACAAAC